GACGAACGCUGGCGGCGUGCUUAACACAUGCAAGUCGAACGGAAAGGCCCUGCUUUUGUGGGGUGCUCGAGUGGCGAACGGGUGAGUAACACGCGAGUAACCUGCCCUUGACUUUGGGAUAACUUCAGGAAACUGGGGCUAAUACCGGGUAGGAGCUCCUGCUGCAUGGUGGGGGUUGGAAAGUUUCGGCGGUUGGGGAUGGACUCGCGGCUUAUCAGCUUGUUGGUGGGGUAGUGGCUUACCAAGGCUUUGACGGGUAGCCGGCCUGAGAGGGUGACCGGCCACAUUGGGACUGAGAUACGGCCCAGACUCCUACGGGAGGCAGCAGUGGGGAAUAUUGCACGAUGGGCGGAAGCCUGAUGCAGCAACUCCGCGUGCGGGAUGACGGCCUUCGGGUUGUAAACCGCUUUCGCCUGUGACGAAGCGUGAGUGACGGUAAUGGGUAAAGAAGCACCGGCUAACUACGUG
Molecule: ribosomal RNA, 468 nt
Filed under: uncultured bacterium
Lineage: Bacteria
Description: partial 16S ribosomal RNA
Rfam family: Bacterial small subunit ribosomal RNA
Source: RNAcentral